This 105-nucleotide microRNA precursor is filed under the name Paramuricea clavata. The record is from RNAcentral. Lineage: Eukaryota; Metazoa; Cnidaria; Anthozoa; Malacalcyonacea; Plexauridae.
AAGAAGAGCAAAUGUUGAAAUAACGAGAGAUAAGUGAGAAAAGUAACAAAAAAGGUUUACUUUUCUCACUUAUCUCUCGUUAUUUCAACAUUUGCUCUUCUUAUG